Molecule: ribosomal RNA, 250 nt
Filed under: uncultured bacterium
Lineage: Bacteria
Description: partial 16S ribosomal RNA
Rfam family: Bacterial small subunit ribosomal RNA
Source: RNAcentral
UACAGAGGGUGCAAGCGUUAAUCGGAGUUACUGGGCGUAAAGGGCGCGUAGGCGGUCUUAUAAGUGAGAUGUGAAAUCCCUGGGCUUAACCUAGGAACUGCAUCUCAUACUGUGAGACUAGAGUAUUGUAGAGGGUAGUGGAAUUUCCGGUGUAGCGGUGAAAUGCGUAGAGAUCGGAAGGAACACCAGUGGCGAAGGCGGCUACCUGGACAAAUACUGACGCUGAGGCGCGAGAGCGUGGGGAGCAAAC